GUUUCACCCGGCAGUUUCUAGUUGACUCACUUUUAACGGCCUCGCUCCAACCCUGGCCCCGCCAGCAGCGGCGCUUCCCAGGGGGACAGGCAGGGUGUGGGUAGCAGGGUUAGCCUGGGAGCACAUGGGGACCCCCACCCCAGCAUCCCACCCAGCGCUGGCAGUCUGGUGCUCGGUGGUGAAACGUGGCUUAGCCCGAUGGGUCUCACCCUGAGCCCAGCCCUGUGGGAUGGCAGUCCCUCUCUUUUGGGUGCAGAGGUGGGCACUUGGCUGUGCCACAGGUGCUGUGGUUCUUCCUUGUGCCCCAUUGUGCCUGGCAGGAUGGUGGCAAACAAUGAUCUUCCCAUCCAAAAAGCUCUCAAGAGCUGGUUUUGGCAUCCUUGAUUUUUUUGGUGCAGUGGCAGCCCUCCCCACACUCUCCAGGAGCAUCGCCAGGUCAGAGCCCUCUGUCCCAAGGCUCUUUUUGAGGCCACCCUUUGAGCUGCAAAGCAGGGCAAGCUGUGCCCAUCCCUGCGCCUCUGUCCCCUGUUCUCAGAAGGGAUAUGGUGGCUUGUGUUGGGAACACAGUCAUUAGGCAUCAGCGUUAACAGUGACUCGACUGAGGCACUGUGGCUCUGUUGGGGUCUGGCAGAAUGAUGGCCAGGAGAUGCUACUGGCUAUCUGUGCCACUGGGGCUGUGGACCCAGUGGCUAGUGGACCCCCUUUCCCACUAGCCCCAGGGCAGUGGAGGGGGCUCAGGGAAUCUUUGGGUGAGAACAGCCCCUUCCUCCUCCUCCUCCUCCUCCUCCUCCUCCUCUAGCACAGCUCUCUGGCCCAUGAGGUGCUGGAUGGAUGGGAGCCAUGUGGGCACAGCUGGGCAGCAGGCAGCUGCCUGCCCCCAGCACAGAGAUGUGCCCAUAGGCCAGGGCGCCGGCAGGAGUUUGUCUCCUUUAAAGACAGCGCAGGGCCGAAGGCAGCUGGCCUGGCCACCACUUCCCCUGCAUGCAGUGAGCACUGUGACCGCAGGCGAGGAGGGGAAGUUGCUGCAAGGCACGAUAAGAAAUAUCAGCGCUUUCGCAGCGCUCGGGCUGUGCUGCCUGACAAGGGCCCUUCCCCCUGCCCGUGGGCCAGGGCCGGCAGCACUGCUGCCCCCUGAGCCCACGGGUCCCACUUCCCUGCACUCGCCGAUACUGGGAGAGUUACUGGAAAAGCAACAGCCCAUGUCCCACGGGGCAGCAGGGAGACUGGGUCCUGGGGGGGUGGCAGCAACGAUGCACCCUUGGUGCUCAAUACAGAGCAAAAACUGGGUGGCACCCCUGGGUGCACGGGGAUGCUGCGGGUGUCUGACCUGCAUCUGGGUGCCACGAGACAAGGGCAGGGGGAGGGCAGAGCCAUGGGAGCAGUGCCAUGGUGGGAGACGGUUUGGGUUAGGGAGCUGUGGCGGGUCAGGGAGCUGCACCCUGGGGAGCAGCAGUACCUAGUACCCUGGGGGUCCAUCAGCAAGUCCCUGGGUGACACUGAGCAGGUGGGCAGGGUGCGGAGAGGGGCCUCAGGAGUGCUGGGACUGGACGCUCUCACAAGGUCCCGGGGGAGGAAACGCAUCUGUUUCAGCCUCCCCCAACCCCAAAAAGCCUCUGUGCUCUCAGCCCUUUGGGAGCUAUUUUAGCUGGGUGUGCCGAGCGGAGCAGGACGAGCGAUCCGGAGCCAUGGGCUGGGGUAGAAAUUCCCGCAGCCUCGUUUGCCGGUCGGUAAAAUUAACCAAUGGCCGGGGGAUGUGGUAAGUUCAUCAUCAGUUGGAGACUUUCAGACCUCCUCGUCUGAGCCCGAGGAACCAGAUCUGCUGAUUUCCUCCUUUGCAAGAUGCAGCGCAGGCGGUGGGUGGCUGCUGCUGGCAGAAGGAAACCAGCUUGGGACACCCAAAAUGUCAUGUCCCCCCAUCCGUGCUCAGCCAGGGAAAGAGGAAGUGUCACCUCCCCCCACUUCCCUGCUGGGAAAGUGCCUGCGGCCCUCCUGCAUGGCUCCUCGGCACACGGGCGCCUGGCUGGGUACAGGCAGCAGCACAGGCAGGCGGUCAGCAGUGUUCUGCCAGACAGCCCCAUUUCGGGAAGGCACAGCUCCUUCCCCACAGCGUCCCCCAGCACCAGCCAUGUGCUUCGUCCUACACCUGACAUCUUGCCCUCCGGCGCGGUCUCUCCAAGUUGCCUCCUUUAGGAAACACAUCUUCAUCUUGCUUUGCAACAUGGUUAGCUUUAAAUGGACCUUUUCUCAUGAGGGCCUGGCUUCUCACCUUCACCUCCUGCCUCCCAGGCCUCUGUAUUUAGCAGGGGCUGGCUUGUCGUCAGAGCAAGGCACGCUGCAAGAAACAUGGCCUUGACCUCGGCACACACAGAAAGUCCCUCAGCAGCACCUCUGGGACCAAAGCUCCCUCUGGCUGCCCCAAAAAAGGCUCCUCGGCUCUGCUGUAAGAGCACGCUUGCCUGUGCCCUGUGCAACUUUGUCCCCCCCGUGAUGGCAUCCACCACCGCUGGGGACCAUCCCAUGUCACCGAGGUGGCUAACAGUGCUGAGUGCUGUCCCCAGGGGAGUCUCUGGGUUGGGAAUAACCUGCUUACACACCCAAAAUGAUGUUCACACAUUUCAGGUGUCACCACGAGGGCUAAUUCGGGGAGCUGAGGAGGCACCUAGCCCAGCUUCACGUGGGACCAGCCGUGCACGUGGUGGCCUCCACUGCCGGUGAGGAGCUGCUCACCACAUGGCUCUGGCAAGGCAGAGGGAUGCUCUCCCAGGUCGGAGCUGCAUCAGCUGCCAAAAGGACCCUCUGGAGACAUCACCAGUGGCAGCUUAGAUUUCCCUGUUGAAUUUCUCACUGGAGCGGGGAGCACGAUGUCCCCAGCCCAGUGACUGUAAGGGAUGGAGAUGGGCACAGGACCAGUGAAGGAUGGGAGCCAGGGCAACCCUCUGGGAGCCAGAGGUGCAGGGACGGGGUCGGGCAGGUGGAUGGGCUCACUCCAGCCAUUUCUGUUUUUUUUUUUUUCCAGUGAAACUCUUUGAGCAGUUCAAACGUGGUUUGGAGUUUCCUGACCAAUUCCCUCUCCACCAAAGCCCCUUCUACCUGCUGUCAUCAGUGCACAUGCUGCUCAAGUCAAAUCACUUCUGACUGUGCCAUUGCUUGGUUAUUUUUGACUUUGCUCUUCCCCUGCCUUCUGCAAACCUCACCAGUAGGUUUUUUUGGUUUGGGGGGUUUAUUUUUCAUUUCUGUCCAGAUUAUCAAUGUAGAGAGUGAAUUGCGUUAGCCUAAAAAAGAGCCUUUUGCAGAGCCACAUGAAAACCAUUGCAUGGACCAAUGUGGUCCCGUUUACAGUCACUUUUGGGGAUUUAGCUCAUAGUUUUUAAUCUAGUUUAAUGGGCAGCUUCACCCAGCACUGGGGCAGGGUGUGCUUCCGGCACGAAGAGUGGUGCUGGCUGUGCAAACUCCCCCUGCUCCACAACCUGUGGCUGCUCUGGCCCCAGUGCCAUCAGGCAGUGAUGGCCAUUGCGACCUGAGCAUGCAAAUCCUGCAAACCCAGCUUUCAGUUUUAUUCCUGGGGGCCUCACGUCCCUGUCGGCCGUUACAGCUACCCGGGGCCGGGAGAAGUCUGGUGUUGCAGAGCACCAAGCGGGUGAGAGGCUCCAGGAGGUCUCUGGGGCAACACAUUUCCUAAAGAGCAGGUUCAGGGCUCGCAGCCUGCUGGCACCCACGUCCCCGCCUGCCUUGCCUUUACCACCAGGCAGCACCUUGAAUCCUGCAGACCCCAGCCAUGGGCUGCCAGCCCCUCCGUAAGCUCUUUCCAUGGUCAGGAACAUCUUGAUCCUGUGCAGGUCCCACCACCAGGAUGGGGCAAGGGGACAUGAUGGAGCUGCACGGCCAUCCUGACCCCCACACAGCUGUGUGUGUGGGGUGGAUUUGGUUACUGUCAACCUGUGCAAGCAGCUGGUUUUUUUUUUUCUUUCUUUUUUUUUGCACAAACAUGUUUGUCGCUCUCAGCAGCAAAGCCCAGGAGAGCGUAACCGGCUGCUCUGCAACGGCCCCCGGUGCUUCCGGCGCUUGGUGGCGGCCACCCCUUGCCCCACGGCUGGGCUGGCUGCGGUCAGGCUGCGUGGUGGCACUGGGUGGGACCAUGCACCGUUAUCUCUUCGGCAGCUACGGCUCUUCCUGUGGUCGGGGCCACGUGGGCAGGAUGGGGUUAAAAGCGGCCUCGCUCCGCUGCAGGGGCCCAUUGCUCCCUGGCAGCCACCACCACCCUAUGCAGCACCCCUCCGCACCGGCACGCGCCACUGGCACCCGGCGUGGGUCACCAGCACCCAGUGUGGGUCACCAGCACCUGGCAUGGGCCAUUGGCACCCAGCAUGGGCCACCCGCACCCCGACCUGGUAAUGGGGGAUCCAUCCGAGGCGCCCACGUGGUGCUCGAGAUGCAGCAUGGGGUCUCCUGGGGUGCUGGAGAAUGUGGCCCCGAUCCCACUGCGAGGGGGGCAGUGGGUGCAGGGGGCCGAUGGCAGGUAAGGGGGUGCCCCCCCAUCCCGGGGAGCGGGGAGCAGGGCGCAGGGUGGAGGCGCGGGGGGAGGAGGCACCGCACUGGCGGGCGGGUGGAGGCGGGAAGCGCCCAAAGCAGAAGUGCCACCCAGGGAGUCUUCGGUGGCAGUGGGAUGGGACUGGGUGGACAGAGAGGCUGGCGGGGCAGGUGAGGUGAGGCUGUCGGGGCUGGGGUCUGCGUGGCUUCGGGUGCGGGGACCUCCGGGUGACCCCCACCACAUGGCCCAAAGGUCAAUGGGGGCAUCAAAAGGGUCUCCGUGUGGCUGGCAGAUGGGGUGAGGUGGAGUCCCCCAUGGGUCUCUGUGGCCUCAGGGGCAGGGGGACGGGACAAGGGCGUCUUUGGUAAAGGACGGGGGGAAGAGGUGGGGUCCCCCAUGGGGACAUUGUGAUGUGGAUGGGGUUUGUCAUUGGAUCCCUGCCAUGGGGACAAGGGAAAAGAGUCCUCUGUGACCAGAGUGGCAUUUAGGUGAGGUCUCCACCAUGGGGACAAGGCAAUGCAAGGGGUCCCCAUCACGUAGGUGGAGUUUGCCAUGGGCUCCCCACCAGAGGGACAAGGCAAAGGAGUCCUCUAUGACCAGGGUGCUGUUUAGAUGGGGUCCCAUCAUGGGGACACGGCAAGGGGGGUCUCUGACGCAGAUGGGAUUUGAGGGACAAUGAUGGAAUUUGAGGGGGGAUCUCACCCUUGGGGAUCCAGGUGAGGGUGUCCUCUGAGACCAGGAUGGGAUUUGAAGGGCAACAAUGGAGUUCAAGGUGGGUUCUCUCCCAUGGGGACAAGGCAAGGGGGUCCUCUGUGAAUGGGAUGGGGUAUGAGCUGGAGGUCUCCCUAUUGAGGCAAAGCAAACACACCCUCUGUGCCCAGGAUGAGGUCUGAGAGGGGAUGAUGGGGUUUGAGGUGGGGUCCCCACCAGCAGGGACAAGGCAAUUGGGUUCUCUGUGAUCAGGAUGGGGUCUGAGGUGGGGUGCCCUGCUUUGGGGACAAGUCAAAGUGGUCUCCUAUGACCAGGAUGGAGUAUUAGCUGGAGUCCCCCCUUGGGGGACAAGUGAAAGUUGUCCCCUAUGACCAGGAUGGGGUAUUAGGUGGUUUCCCUGCUUUGGGGACAAGGUGAGGAUGUCCCUUGUGCCCAGGAUAGGGCUCGAGGUGGGACAAUGGGGUAUGAGGUAGGGUCUCACCCAUGGGGACAAGAUGAGGAUGUCCCCUGUGCCCAGCAUGGGGUUUUAGGGGAGACGAGGGAGCACAUGGCAGGAUCUCCCCUGUGGGGACAAGGAUGUCCUCCAUGCCCGGCACAGCUCCCUGAGGCAGGAGGUGACACUGGCAGAGACUCUCUGUCCCCAGGGCAAGACCAGCCCUGCAAUUUUCAUUCCUGGCCAUGCUGAUGCCAAAGGUGGUCCCAUGGCCAGGCCAUGUGGCGUGCAGGAGGUGGCCCCGUGCGGGCAGAAGCAAGCACUUCGCUGGAGGAGAGCAACCGCCGGACACCGACUGAGAGACAGUGCAGUCACCCAUAAAGUAGAAAGCACUACUAAACAGCACUGCAGGGUGUAGUGUUUCCUACUUUAUGGAUGAGUGUACUGUGGGCUACGGAGAAGAGAGCACCGCCACGACCCAUGUGCCCGUCACGAGUUGCGCGCAGUCCAAGAGCAGAGGACAGGCUGUGCCUGGCUCACGGGAGGGUGCCCACACUCAGCCGCUUGCCCCAUGGGCACUGCCACCCUCCCCAGGCUGUGGAUGCUCUGCUCGUCCCUGCUGUCCCUCUGGCACCUGGGGACCGGCCAUGUGGGGAAGAGGGGCUGCAUAGCCUGGCACCCCACGUGCGUGGUGGAGGGGCCCAUUGGGUCGGAGCAAGCAGUACGCUGUGAGGCCAGGGGAAGAGACACUUGCAACAGGGUUAUCCCGCAGCAGAAGGCACCACGAGCUUGCACGCUGCUGGAGACCAUGUUCAAAGCCCUGGGGGAGCCUUGGUGGGACUAUGGGUGGGGGUGGUGGAAAUAGCUCAAGAGGAGCCAGCAAAUCUCAGCCCAUCAACACAGGGGUCUCACCUUCAGUCCCCCAAGGCUCACUGGCAAAGCUGCCGUGUCAUGCGGCACCCCCAGCCAUGGCCGCAAGGCCAUGUGGAGCUAAGAGCCCCUCCUAUGGUCCCUGUCUCCCUCCAGCCACGCACCCCUGGCCUGUCCUUCCUUGGGGGGUUCUAAAGCCAGCCCGGCUUCCAGGGAUGCAGGGGGAGGGUCCAUGUUCCCCAAACAUCAGUUCCCAAACCCCCCAGGCAUCUUCACCCUUGGCUUUGACUGAUCUCCUGCCUGUGGGAGAAGGCAUCUAAAAAUAGUAGAAAAAAAUACAUUAAAAAUACAUAUUUUUUCCCCCUUUUGGAGCCCAAAUGUUAAUGGAAAGUUCCCACAUUUUGUAAAACUUCUUGUGCUGGUCUCGGGAAUGUUUGUGGGUGUUUUUAU
Long non-coding RNA from Aquila chrysaetos chrysaetos, 6992 nucleotides. RefSeq lists it as uncharacterized. NCBI's taxonomy places the organism in Eukaryota, Metazoa, Chordata, Aves, Accipitriformes, Accipitridae. The transcript is spliced from 2 exons. The record is from RefSeq and is a predicted model, not a curated record.